Molecule: ribosomal RNA, 253 nt
Filed under: uncultured bacterium
Lineage: Bacteria
Description: partial 16S ribosomal RNA
Rfam family: Bacterial small subunit ribosomal RNA
Source: RNAcentral
UACGGGGGGGGCAAGCGUUGUUCGGAAUUACUGGGCGUAAAGGGCUCGUAGGCGGCCAACUAAGUCGGAUGUGAAAUCCCCAAGCUUAACUUGGGAACUGCAUCCGAUACUGGAUGGCUUGAAUCCGGGAGAGGGAUGCAGAAUUCCAGGUGUAGCGGUGAAAUGCGUAGAUAUCUGGAGGAAUACCGGUGGCGAAGGCGGCAUCCUGGACCGGCAUGGACGCUGAGGAGCGAAAGCUAGGGGAGCAAACGGG